AGCGAAGCUUGCUUUGCUCCGCCGGCGACCGGCGCACGGGUGAGUAACGCGUAUGCAACCUGCCCGUUUCAGCGGGAUAACCCGGAGAAAUCCGGCCUAAUACCGCAUGUGGCCGAGGGAAGGCAUCUUCUUUCGGCCAAAGGAGGCGACUCCGGAGACGGAUGGGCAUGCGUGACAUUAGCUUGUUGGCGGGGUAACGGCCCACCAAGGCGACGAUGUCUAGGGGUUCUGAGAGGAAGGUCCCCCACACUGGUACUGAGACACGGACCAGACUCCUACGGGAGGCAGCAGUGAGGAAUAUUGGUCAAUGGGCGAGAGCCUGAACCAGCCAAGUCGCGUGAAGGAUGACGGCCCUACGGGUUGUAAACUUCUUUUGUCAGGGAGCAAUUGGGUCCACGCGUGGGCUUAGCGAGAGUACCUGAAGAAAAAGCAUCGGCUAACUCCGUGCCAGCAGCCGCGGUAAUACGGAGGAUGCGAGCGUUAUCCGGAUUUAUUGGGUUUAAAGGGUGCGUAGGCGGAAUAUCAAGUCAGCGGUAAAAAUUCGGGGCUCAACCCCGUCGUGCCGUUGAAACUGAUGUUCUUGAGUGGGCGAGAAGUAUGCGGAAUGCGUGGUGUAGCGGUGAAAUGCAUAGAUAUCACGCAGAACUCCGAUUGCGAAGGCAGCAUACCGGCGCCCAACUGACGCUGAAGCACGAAAGCGUGGGUAUCGAACAGGAUUAGAUACCCUGGUAGUCCACGCAGUAAACGAUGAAUGCUAAUUGUCCGGAGGGAUUGACCUCUGGGUGAUACAGCGAAAGCGUU
RNAcentral lists this ribosomal RNA (801 nucleotides) under uncultured bacterium. RNAcentral's name for it is "bacterial SSU rRNA". It matches the Rfam family "Bacterial small subunit ribosomal RNA", at positions 71 to 861 of the family's 1533-position model. The record is from RNAcentral.